Molecule: long non-coding RNA, 267 nt
Filed under: Vitis vinifera (wine grape)
Lineage: Eukaryota; Viridiplantae; Streptophyta; Magnoliopsida; Vitales; Vitaceae
Description: long non-coding RNA (VVIN_LNC003793)
Source: RNAcentral
UUAAAGCCUGGUGCCCUAAGCCUUUAUUGGUUGGGAGUCAUCGAUCCUCUGCUUGUUACAUGGGUGAAUUGGUUAAGUUUAGUAAGUGAAAAGAAUUGUGAAUAAGAGGUGUGUUCCUAGCCUAUCAAGAGAUGGUUAAUUUUGCUAAGCUUAAAGAAAGACUUAGGUUGGGGGGAGAUGAUAGUUAUCCAUACUAUACUCAGAAGCUAAUCACAUUAACACUUAGCUUUUAGUGGAAGAAUUUGAUUUGGAUCUUUUGAGAGUGGA